RNAcentral lists this ribosomal RNA (202 nucleotides) under uncultured bacterium. RNAcentral's name for it is "partial 16S ribosomal RNA". It matches the Rfam family "Bacterial small subunit ribosomal RNA", at positions 1300 to 1500 of the family's 1533-position model. The record is from RNAcentral.
GUAGUCUGCAACUCGACUACAUGAAGCUGGAAUCGCUAGUAAUCGCGGAUCAGAAUGCCGCGGUGAAUACGUUCCCGGGUCUUGUACACACCGCCCGUCACACCAUGGGAGUCGAUAACGCCCGAAGUCAGUGACCCAACCUGUAAGGAGGGAGCUGCCGAAGGCGGGAUUGAUAACUGGGGUGAAGUCGUAACAAGGUACC